UACGAAGGGGCUAGCGUUGUUCGGAUUACUGGGCGUAAGCGCACGUAGGCGGAUCGUUAGUCGGGGGUGAAUCCUGGAGCUCAACUCCAGAACUGCCUUCGAUACUGGCGAUCUUGAGUCCGGAAGAGGUGAGUGGAACUCCUAGUGUAGAGGUGGAAUCGGUAGAUAUUAGGAAGAACACCAGUGGCGAAGGCGGCUCACUGGUCCGGUACUGACGCUGAGGUGCGAAAGCGUGGGAGCAACAG
This 245-nucleotide ribosomal RNA is filed under the name uncultured bacterium. Its description in RNAcentral is "partial 16S ribosomal RNA". It matches the Rfam family "Bacterial small subunit ribosomal RNA", at positions 524 to 775 of the family's 1533-position model. The record is from RNAcentral.